Molecule: long non-coding RNA, 1970 nt
Organism: Oncorhynchus nerka (sockeye salmon)
Lineage: Eukaryota; Metazoa; Chordata; Actinopteri; Salmoniformes; Salmonidae
Exons: 3
Source: RefSeq, a predicted model, not a curated record
CCUUCCUGAGCACUGUCUUCCUCCUGGGACGUCAUUAAAUUUCUGUUCCCAGCACCUGAGCCUCUUUGACGCCUCUGGUCACGUCCCUCCCUGACUCCCUGCUCUAUGAUGUGAUGUCCUCGUUCCGUGACCCCGGCUCAAAUUGAAAUCAAGAGUUUCUCCAGAGGCUAGUCCUUCAGUGUUGUGGAGUCUAUGGAGAGAUCUUGCUGGCUGUGUCAGAUGGCCAAAUAAAACAGGCCUUUUCCAGAUCAUUGCAACGCUUGCCCUAGAUGAUUAUAGUAUCAUAUAGGUUGUGUUCAGUAGGCACGAAAUGGAAGAAAACAGAGUGAAACAGGGAGGUACUAUCUGAAAAUGUCCAGUAAGAAGCAUAUUGUAAUGACCUGGCUAGAUCAUAAAGGAACAAUUGUCCAGACAGAGGAUUGAGUUUACGAAUUGACGGUUUAUUAACCCAACUCCACACAGGCUACUGUUUGGCCGUAGCCCACGCCAAAUAAACGAAGGAUACCCCUAUACAACAACUGUGACCUUCUCUUGUGAAGACCAGACGUAAGAGAGAGAACAAUGGCUAAACAUGGCAUUCCUGUGGUUGGCAGAUAGCAGGUUGACUGGCAUGUCGGACCCCGCUAACACUGUGUACUGAUAAUGAAGCAUGUGAGACAUGGACAGAAAGAAUAUGAAAUGGAGAGGUUGGUGGUUCCUGGUCCCCUAGCUGAUGCUGUCCCCCACCCCCCGGACAUCAAGGGGGGCCCAGCGUACGCAGUCAGAUCCCUAUUGGACUCCCGACAUUGUGGGGGUCAGCUCCAGUAUCUGGAUUCAUUAUGAUGAAUCAUGAAUCAUUAUGAUUCACACCUGGACUCCAUUACCUUCAUAAUUUCCUCCCCUUUAUGUCACUCUCCCAUGUUCACUUACCAGUUGGUAUUGUUAUUGUGUCUCGGUGUACUGCCUUAUGUUCGUGUCGUGUUCUUGGUUUUGUUGUUUUACUAAAACGUUUCACCUACACCUGCUUCCUACUCACCACCCCAUCAUUACAGAAGGUUUGUACACGUGAUUUCAUGGAAGCCUCUUGAUAAGGAUGCUUGUCUUAAAAACAAAUAUUACAAUGUUGUGGAAUCCUGCUAAGAGUUUUUCUUGUAUUAAGUAUAAUUAUAUUUAACAAAUGAUUGCUUCCUUCUCGUUGUCUCUUUGACAACACUCUGUAAAUAUGUAACAAGGUGAGCUUGUUCUCACAGGAACAAAAGACACAUAGUGACAGGAAUUCUGUCAGAUUAACCAAGGAAUACAGCAGUUGUUAUGGUUACAAGUUAUAAAUAGUGUCUGGGAGACAGGGGAACUGAGAGUUUCAGGGUGUAAGGCUCAGAUCCAUCCCAGAAUUCACCGCUGAAGCUCAGCAAACUUGCUGGGAAACAUUCAGUCAGCCAUGGUUCUGACAUCAGGCAGGUAAAAUCACACUGUUGCAUUAAUUAGACAGACUACUUUGUGUAUAGUGGCCCACCUAGCAGCAGUCAUGAAUUUGAACUUGAAUGGUCUGAAAAGCUAUUUCUGUAAUCCGACCUUCAAGACUCUCCAUGAGCUCUAUAGCUAUGAGAUGCCAAUUUUUCUAAUGAAUGUUGAUCAUGCACUACAUGUUAUUUGGUGAAUUGUAUUGAAAUGUAGCACGUUCUAUAUCUUCUGUGGUCACUGGUCGGUAUCUUCCUCCAUGGUGUUUGGCGUUUGUGUCAUGCACAUUGUUCUCUACCCAGCCAGGCGCCUCCAUCGAACUGAGUAAUUAGAAGCAGCUCGAGGAUUUAAUGAAGAGGCGCUCGCUUGAUGGCAGCAGCGCUUGAGACAUUGCCAGUGGCUCCGACUUCAAAGCGGAGGGAGACAUGGCUCCAACAGCAAAGGCCGGGAAAAGCUGCAAGAAAACAAGUUGUGGCUUUUCUUUCGAUUUGUGGCCUGCCAUGGCACUUAUUGAUACAGAUGUAGGACCUUAA